GCAUCUAUGCAAGACAACAUCUAUGCGUCCCCCUGGCGCCCAGGACACGGGACCUGACCCAACCGGAAACAGCUUCCCCUCGGGCGCCAAGGGCAGCUGAGUGAGGAUGCAGGCAGAAUUUGUGGCAGUGGUCCUGGGGGGAUGCUCCCAGGAGAAGGGGAUCAGCCGUGGCCUCCUUCUCCCCUUCCUGAAGCCCAUUCCAGCGUCUGCUCUCCCCCUUCUCAGGAUGGCAUAAGCAGGACGGAGGAUACCCCCCCCAGCUGCUGGGGCCCCAGAGGGAGCCUGCGUCUCUCGGCUCCGGCAGCCGGAAUGAAGGCUGCGCUAGCUGUUACUCAGAUCUGCAGUCUGUGCCAGGAGCUGGGCCUGAAGGAAGGAAGGUCCUUGCAGGUUACCUCGGCUUUUUGGUCCAUCAGGUUCUAAGAGGUACUGAUAGGCUAUUUUGCCCAUCAGGACCCAAUACCCUUCCCUGCCCCCCAACUUGGAGCCGACCUUGGACCCUCCCAGCUGAGCCCAAGAGGGGACUUGGCGUGCAGGCUGCGUUAAAGGGCUGAUUGGGAGACACUGAGAACUGAUUGCCUUUCUGAAGAGCCACUUUACCCUGGAACAAAUAGGGAGAUGAGAUUCUUCAAACUGUGCUCUCAAGUGAACCACUUCUCGGAAAUCAGACGCUGAUCAAAGAUCUCAAGUUCUGCUUUACAUAAAAGACCCAGACGUGUUAAUACACGCUGUCAGUUCCCUGAGAUUUGGAAAUGCAGGGGUUUUACGGAUUUUUUUUUUUUUUUUUUUUUGGUUGUGCCUGCCAGCGUGUAGAAAUUCCCAGGCCAGGGAUGGAACUCACGCCACCGCAGAGACCCACGCCACGGCAGUGACGACUCUGGAUCCUUCAUCCACUGAGCCACCGGGGGACGCCAGGAAAUACAGCUGUAACCAAAACAAGAAGUGCAUAAUCCCUGCCUCCAAACACUCUCUUCCUUUAUUAAUUUUGUAAGUAUGGUGGAUUC
This 1001-nucleotide long non-coding RNA is filed under the name Sus scrofa (pig). Its description in RNAcentral is "lncRNA (ENSSSCG00030001069.1)". Lineage: Eukaryota; Metazoa; Chordata; Mammalia; Artiodactyla; Suidae. The record is from RNAcentral.